UCGGAUUGUAGUCUGCAACCCGGCUACAUGAAGCUGGAAUCGCUAGUAAUCGCGGAUCAGAAUGCCGCGGUGAAUACGUUCCCGGGUCUUGUACACACCGCCCGUCACACCACGAGAGUUUGUAACACCCGAAGUCGGUGAGGUAACCUUUUUGGAGCCAGCCGCCUAAGGUGGGAUAGAUGAUUGGGGUGAAGUCGUAACAAGGUACC
RNAcentral lists this ribosomal RNA (209 nucleotides) under uncultured bacterium. Its description in RNAcentral is "partial 16S ribosomal RNA". It matches the Rfam family "Bacterial small subunit ribosomal RNA", at positions 1293 to 1500 of the family's 1533-position model. The record is from RNAcentral.